AGUGAACGCUGGCGGUAGGCCUAACACAUGCAAGUCGAACGGCAGCACAGUAAGAGCUUGCUCUUACGGGUGGCGAGUGGCGGACGGGAGAGGAAUACAUCGGAAUCUACUUUUUCGUGGGGGAUAACGUAGGGAAACUUACGCUAAUACCGCAUACGACCUACGGGUGAAAGCAGGGGAUCUUCGGACCUUGCGCGAAUGAAUGAGCCGAUGUCGGAUUAGCUAGUUGGCGGGGUAAAGGCCCACCAAGGCGACGAUCCGUAGCUGGUCUGAGAGGAUGAUCAGCCACACUGGAGCUGAGACACGGUCCAGACUCCUACGGGAGGCAGCAGUGGGGAAUAUUGGACAAUGGGCGCAAGCCUGAUCCAGCCAUACCGCGUGGGUGAAGAAGGCCUUCGGGUUGUAAAGCCCUUUUGUUGGUAAAGAAAAGCAGCAGGUUAAUACCCCGCUGUUCUGACGGUACCCAAAGAAUAAGCACCGGCUAACUUCGUG
This 492-nucleotide ribosomal RNA is filed under the name uncultured bacterium. RNAcentral describes it as "partial 16S ribosomal RNA". It matches the Rfam family "Bacterial small subunit ribosomal RNA", at positions 29 to 507 of the family's 1533-position model. The record is from RNAcentral.